RNAcentral lists this ribosomal RNA (478 nucleotides) under uncultured bacterium. Its description in RNAcentral is "partial 16S ribosomal RNA". It matches the Rfam family "Bacterial small subunit ribosomal RNA", at positions 28 to 523 of the family's 1533-position model. The record is from RNAcentral.
GACGAACGCUGGCGGCGUGCUUAACACAUGCAAGUCGAGCGAUGAAGCUCCUUCGGGAGUGGAUUAGCGGCGGACGGGUGAGUAACACGUGGGUAACCUGCCUCAUAGAGGGGAAUAGCCUUUCGAAAGGAAGAUUAAUACCGCAUAAGAUUGUAGCUUCGCAUGAAGCAGCAAUUAAAGGAGUAAUCCGCUAAGAGAUGGACCCGCGUCGCGUUAGCUAGUUGGUGAGGUAACGGCUCACCAAGGCGACGAUGCGUAGCCGACCUGAGAGGGUGAUCGGCCACAUUGGGACUGAGACACGGCCCAGACUCCUACGGGAGGCAGCAGUGGGGAAUAUUGCACAAUGGGGGAAACCCUGAUGCAGCAACGCCGCGUGAGUGAUGACGGUCUUCGGAUUGUAAAGCUCUGUCUUCAGGGACGAUAAUGACGGUACCUGAGGAGGAAGCCACGGCUAACUACGUGCCAGCCGCCGCGGUAA